GGGGCACCAGUCCUUCAUUGCGCGAACACACGCGGGCCAGGUUGUCUUCGUCAGUUCACAGUUCACCGCAGCUCUUUGGAUGGUACAAGGAAACCCUGGUGGACAUGGAGAGAAUAUGAAAAUUCCACGUGGGAAGGACCCGUAACGCGAACCCUGCAGUGGUGUAGUUGGCAGGAUCCAAAGCCUGAAAAAUGUUGGAAGGGCAGGAUCUGAACGCGGUCUUGACAACCAUGAAUCUGAAGCUGGAGCAGGAAAAAUGAAGCAACACCACCAUGAAUUCACCCGGACUUGAUAAAAUCCAAGACACUUCCAAGUUCCUUCCUUCCCUCUGGUCCCCAUCUGAUGAUGUCAUUACCAUCCAUCUACCACCGCAGCUCCGUCCCAGCAUUCCAUGUCCACUUCCAUUCCCACCCCAUAAAUUGUCCGCCUGUCAUUUGUUUCUCUGUCUGUGUUCGAUGUACGAACUGACCUGAUCUGAAAGAGUUUUCUACAGUAUCUGGGGACGGAAACCCCAAUACCUUUAUACUCUAUUUGUGCUUUCUUUACAAUAUAUAUAUAUAUAUAUAUAUAUAUAUAUAUAUAUAUACAUACACACACACACACAUA
Molecule: long non-coding RNA, 606 nt
Organism: Erpetoichthys calabaricus (reedfish)
Lineage: Eukaryota; Metazoa; Chordata; Cladistia; Polypteriformes; Polypteridae
Exons: 3
Source: RefSeq, a predicted model, not a curated record